Molecule: long non-coding RNA, 2426 nt
Filed under: Homo sapiens (human)
Lineage: Eukaryota; Metazoa; Chordata; Mammalia; Primates; Hominidae
Description: HSALNT0250519
Source: RNAcentral
AAAAGACAAGAGGAAUCUUGGCCUCAAAAACUGAUAUCCAUCAUAAGAUCAUGGUGAAAUACAGUCUGAAGCAGGUCCAGAGUGAGAAGAGAAAAGAAUCACAGAAAUGGGGCUGGAGUUUCAACUGUAUUAAGCCAGAAGACUACCUGCCUCCAAACUUUCAAGAAGCCAACAAAGUUCCUGACUGUUUAAACUAAUUUGAGUUGGAUUUCUAUUGCUUGUAUCUAAAAGAAUCCUAACUGGCACUUCUAGAUAUCUGUUGAGGCCUGGAAGGGGCAAAACAAUUCAGGAAGCAGUUGAAGAUAAAGGGGUUUACCAUGGAAGAGAAGAUCCAGGUGCCUUCAUGGAAAUGCUUGUGGUUGAAAAGAGAUGAAGAUGAGGGUCCCUGGAAAGAGGAAGAACCAGCCAGGAAAAUUAUACCAUUAGCAAGACUGGCAUCAGCAAGUAGUUCGCAGUGUUGGUUGUUCUUGGUUUCGCAGGAUUUUAUAGGAGAUGGACCUUCUCCUAAAAGUCUUAUCUUCUAAGUCUCCUAAGUCUUGGACUUUUCAAGGCCAAAGAUUUAAAGGCCAAGUGGACCAUACGGGAGAUCUAGUUUCCCAUCCAGACAGCCAAGCUCAUGCAUCCCUGGAUUUGGAUGGAUGGUUUCCCAUGGGGCCUUGGACAGAUUGGACCCAGCACUGGCACAGGGUUGACUUGGAGGAAUAAGCUCCUGGAAACCUCAAUUAGCGUUUGGGGUAUGAACAUUAAACAAUACUGAAUCUGGAAACAAUACAUCACACAGCGGGUCCAAGGAAAUAAGCAGAAGGCUGGCAGCAGGCCAGGGCCAGGGGCCAAAUCGCUCCUCAAAGACAAUUCUUCAUGGAGAAAUGACAGCAGGUUUGAGGACAGCAGAAUUUCGCUCUUGUUGCCCAGGGCUGGAGUGCAAUGGUGCAAUCUCGGCUCACCACAACCACUGCCUCCUGGGUUCAAGCGAUUCUCCUGCCUCAGCCUCCUGAGUAGCUGGGAUUACAGGAAGUACAAAAACAUCCUUGCCGUUUGCUGGAAUGAUGUACUGCUGAAGGCAAUGGACACUGGGGUUGUUUGUCCCUAAUCACAAGUGAGCAAUACCAGAUCUAUUAUCUCAGGUUCAGAGAAGUGAGGUGUCUGACCUUCAGACAGGAUUGAAUGCAGAGUAAAAUAAUUCCAAAUAUGGUCUGGGCAUUGCAUGUAAUACAGAGUAAAAGUUAUUGUAAGACACUUUCGCCAGUUUCUGUCACUUGGUUCCUCAAAUGUUUAGUUCAUUCUAAUUACAUAAUCAGCCUUCUGAUUCAAUGAAGACUGAUGGGAUUGCUGACUUGCCACCCUGGAGUUCAGUUGGCAGCAAGUGAGGGAAAAGGUGAACUCUGUAAACAAGGUUUAGAAGCCCUUUUCUUAACUCUUUAUAAAACAGAGAAGAUGAGGAAGGAGAAAGGCACUGUCAUUAAGCUCUUAGCCAGGGAAUUACACAUACACACACGUGUGUGUGUGUGUAUUUCAACUCAAUGUACAAGGACUUCUCAGCCCAUAGCUACUUUGAACACAUUGUUUAUCCCCCAUAGCAUGAAGGACUAAAGGAACCAGAGAUUUCAUAAUCUCUGGCCUGUAACGUUUUUGCUGAAAUAUCUGCUGUUAUUCUAAUGGGGUUUCCUUUAAAGGUGACUAGUCACUCUUCUUUUGCUAAUUAAUUUUUUUUUUCACUUUGACUUUAGACAUUCUGAAUAUAAUAUGCUAUGAUGAAGCACUUUAUGCAAUGUAUAUUCCUGAGGAUUGCUGGGCCUCCUGUAACUAGAUGUCUGACUCUCUUGCUAGAUGUGGAAAGUUUUCAUCAAUUAUUUUCUUAAACAGGUUUUCUAAGCUUUUAAAUAAUCUUUCUUUCCCAUCAGGAAUACCAAUAAUUUCUAAUUUCAGUCACUUUAUGUAGUCCCAGACAUCUCAAAGGCUUUGUGCACUCCCUUUUAUACUUUUUUGUUGUCGUUAUCUUUGUCUUACUGGAUUAUUUCAAAAGACUUAUCUUCAAGUUCUGAGAUUCUUUCUUCUGCUUGAUCUAUUCUGUUAUUGAAGCUUUCAAAUACAUUUUGCAUUUCCUUCAAUAGUUUUUUUAGGUUUAGAUUUUCUGCUUUUGCUUUAUAAGAUACCCAUCUCCUUGAUACAUUUCUCAUUAAUAUCCUGAGUUAAUUUUCUAAUUUCUUGAAGUUGGCCCAAGGGUGGAAUGCAGCCCCGUGUUAAACUCUCAAAACUGUGCCUUGGGCCUGUGACCAGACAGAGCAGAUUUCUUCUCAAGUAAGUAGCAUAGAAAAGAGAGAUCCAAAUAAACACAAUCAUAAAUGAAAAAGGAGACAUUAUAGCUGAUAACACAGAGGCACAAAGAUCAUCAGAGACUAUUAUAAAUAACUAUAUGAUCACAAACC